This 99-nucleotide signal recognition particle RNA is filed under the name Spirochaeta africana DSM 8902. RNAcentral describes it as "Bacterial small signal recognition particle RNA". It matches the Rfam family "Bacterial small signal recognition particle RNA". Rfam says of the family: The signal recognition particle (SRP) is a universally conserved ribonucleoprotein involved in the co-translational targeting of proteins to membranes. Archaeal SRP consists of a 7S RNA and homologues of the eukaryotic SRP19 and SRP54 proteins. In most bacteria, the SRP consists of a 4.5S RNA and the Ffh protein (a homologue of the eukaryotic SRP54 protein). Lineage: Bacteria; Pseudomonadati; Spirochaetota; Spirochaetia; Spirochaetales; Spirochaetaceae. The record is from Rfam by way of RNAcentral.
CGCCAGGUCCUGUGCAAUGAAGCGAUACUGAACCCCGUCAGGCCCGGAAGGGAGCAGCGGUAGGUGUUUGCUUCAUGUGCCGCAGACGGCUUGGCAGAA